This 253-nucleotide ribosomal RNA is filed under the name uncultured bacterium. Its description in RNAcentral is "partial 16S ribosomal RNA". It matches the Rfam family "Bacterial small subunit ribosomal RNA", at positions 524 to 776 of the family's 1533-position model. The record is from RNAcentral.
UACGUAGGGCGCAAGCGUUAUCCGGAAUUAUUGGGCGUAAAGAGCUUGUAGGCGGUUUGUCGCGUCUGCUGUGAAAAUCCGGGGCUCAACCCCGGACUUGCAGUGGGUACGGGCAGACUAGAGUGUGGUAGGGGAGACUGGAAUUCCUGGUGUAGCGGUGGAAUGCGCAGAUAUCAGGAGGAACACCGGUGGCGAAGGCGGGUCUCUGGGCCGUAACUGACGCUGAGGAGCGAAAGCAUGGGGAGCGAACAGG